AAGCCCCAAAAUUUGUGGCGGGUGGUAAAACUGUUUGACACAGCUUGAGCUUACUCUAGCAACAAAGUCUAACCUAUUCCAGCCCUCUGUCUUCCGUGGAACAAGCCGCUAUAUAGACCUAGUGUGA
Small nucleolar RNA from Phyllostomus discolor (pale spear-nosed bat), 127 nucleotides. RefSeq annotates it as small nucleolar RNA SNORA28. The record is from RefSeq and is a predicted model, not a curated record. The transcript has a single exon. Lineage: Eukaryota; Metazoa; Chordata; Mammalia; Chiroptera; Phyllostomidae.